GGAGCCGUGCCUGAAAUAAAGGGUCACUUUGAUAGAGUGAAACAUGAAGGUUAAAGUCCUUCCGACUCCU
Molecule: transfer RNA, 70 nt
Filed under: Serranus papilionaceus
Lineage: Eukaryota; Metazoa; Chordata; Actinopteri; Perciformes; Serranidae
Description: tRNA-Ile
Rfam family: tRNA
About the family: Transfer RNA (tRNA) molecules are approximately 80 nucleotides in length. Their secondary structure includes four short double-helical elements and three loops (D, anti-codon, and T loops).
Source: RNAcentral